UGGAGGAGUGGCUGAGUGGACGAAAGCGGGUGAUUUGAAAUCACUUGAGGGUUGACAGCCCUCCGGGGGUUCGAAUCCCUCCUCCUCCGCUUA
RNAcentral lists this transfer RNA (93 nucleotides) under Sulfurihydrogenibium azorense Az-Fu1. Its description in RNAcentral is "tRNA-Ser". It matches the Rfam family "tRNA". From Rfam's summary of the family: Transfer RNA (tRNA) molecules are approximately 80 nucleotides in length. The record is from RNAcentral. Lineage: Bacteria; Pseudomonadati; Aquificota; Aquificia; Aquificales; Hydrogenothermaceae.